AUAGAUGAAAAUAUGCUAUUCCAGCGAAAGCCUUGGCAAGGCAUUCUGUGGAUGAUAUUCUGGCUUCUGAAGACUUGUCAUUGCUACAGCAACACCGAGAUGCAUUGGCACUCUUCAAUCCAGAGGAUGGGCCAUCAACGCACAAAAGUGGAAGGCUUGGACUAGCUGCAAAGUUCCUAUGGAUCACUUGGCCUGUCCAGGGUAGGAAAUGGAAUCUUAACAACUAUCACACGAGCUUUGAGGGGAUCCUUCUCCAGAUGAGCCUUCAGUUGCGACCUCAGCCUUGGACAUCAUCUGCAUCUGGAUUCCUGACCCAGAGCAACUGAAUUUUAUGGAACCUUGUAUUCUGUUGAAUACCAGAAUUAUAUCAGCAAUCCCCAAGUCACCAAAUGGGCAUCAUCAUGACAGCAGGUGGGUGGAAUACAAAAGAAAAAAAUAUAUAUAUAUGUAUGUAUGUGUGUCUAUAUAUAUAUGUAUGUGUAUAUAUAUGUGUGUGUUUGUUAAAAAAUUGCUGUUGAUAUUUUAAAGGUUUCAAAUAAUUCAUCAGUGAAUUCUCCUCAACCUGGUCAAUCAUGUGAACUUAGAAGAUGAUUCCUCCCCAGCUGAUCCUCAGGUGAGACCUCAGCCUUGGCCAUCAUCUAUAUCUGGAUUCCUGACCCAGAGAAACUGGAACACUAAGGCCCAUUCUUCCUCUCAAGUAUCCAGAAAUAAAGUUGCUCCAAGUAACAAGUGGACAGCAUAAAAGAUUGUAUGGAAACUAUAAUGCAUCUACAUCUGCAGUAACUAAUCAUAAAAUGAUUUGUAUGAUCAUUCUUCACAUGAUUAGAAUUACUAUGGGAAAGAAGAAAAAGAAA
This is a long non-coding RNA of Homo sapiens (human), 854 nucleotides long. Ensembl annotates it as Prader-Willi region non-protein coding RNA 1. Its record names the gene PWRN1. The record is from Ensembl. NCBI's taxonomy places the organism in Eukaryota, Metazoa, Chordata, Mammalia, Primates, Hominidae.